AUAGAGCACGGAAAAGCUGUGUAUAACACAGCAAAGGCGGGGUCUCCGCUGCCCGUUGGCAUGGGCAGCAGGGUUAAGUGGGCCCAUAACCGUGGGCCCCACCUCAUCAACGGCUCUCAAAGUACUCCCCGGGACUAAAUACCUCGAGGGGGGAAACAGAGGCCUCUGCCACUGGACAAUGCUACCAUUUGCCCCUCCGGGGGGUCGGUCUUGUCUGGGCACCUGGCAGAGCCCAUCCACAAGCGCACGAUGGACUUCAGACCUAUCAGCUAGACGGUAGGGUAUUGGCCUACCGUGGCUAUGACGGGUACAGAGGAUUAGGGUUUGAUCCUGGAGAGGUAGCCUGAGAAAUCGCUCCCACUUCUAAGGAAGGCAGCAGGCGCGUAACGUUCCCAAUGCUAGGACCCCUAGUGAGGACGUAAUGGGACAUAACAAUACCCCUAUUGAAUAGUGGGUAAUUGACAAUGGGGCGGGCAUAAACACCCUGCCGAGAAGCAACUGGA
Molecule: ribosomal RNA, 503 nt
Filed under: Lycogala epidendrum
Lineage: Eukaryota; Evosea; Eumycetozoa; Liceales; Enteridiidae
Description: partial 18S ribosomal RNA
Rfam family: Eukaryotic small subunit ribosomal RNA
Source: RNAcentral